RNAcentral lists this ribosomal RNA (432 nucleotides) under uncultured bacterium. RNAcentral describes it as "partial 16S ribosomal RNA". It matches the Rfam family "Bacterial small subunit ribosomal RNA", at positions 29 to 506 of the family's 1533-position model. The record is from RNAcentral.
AACGAACGCUGGCGGCAUGCCUAACACAUGCAAGUCGAACGAGACCUUCGGGUCUUGUGGCGCACGGCUGCGUAACGCGUGGGAACCUGCCCUUAUGUUCGGAAUAACUCAGAGAAAUUUGUGCUAAUACCGGAUCAUGUCUUCGGACCAAAGAUUUAUCGCCUUUGGAUGGGCCCGCGUAGGAUUAGCUUGUUGGUGGGGUAAUGGCCUACAAAGGCGACGAUCCUUAGCUGGUCUGAGAGGAUGGUCAGCCACACUGAGACUGAGACACGACCCAGACUUCUAGGAGAGGGAGCAAUGAGGAAUAUUAGACGACGCGCGAGAGCCUGAUACAGCAAGGCCGCGUGAAUGGUGAAGGCAUUAAGGUUGUAAAGCUCAUUUACAAGGAAAGAUAAUGACAGAACCUGGAGAAUAAGCUCGGGCUAACACCGU